RNAcentral lists this long non-coding RNA (422 nucleotides) under Malus domestica (apple). RNAcentral's name for it is "long non-coding RNA (MDOM_LNC003919)". The record is from RNAcentral. Lineage: Eukaryota; Viridiplantae; Streptophyta; Magnoliopsida; Rosales; Rosaceae.
UAAGAUUAGGGUAAAAUAUAUAAUAUAAAAUCUACUCAUCAGCGAUCAUAUCAUUCUUCAUCACAGAGUCCCCAACGGUAAGAGGACCAGUAGGGGAUAAGAAGGAUGGGCGCCAUAUGUUGUCUUGAGAAGGCAUGGCUGCCUUUUCACCAAAGUUCAAGUCAAAACGACGGUCGAAUGGGCCAGACAUUCUUAGAAAUGAUGAAGGAGAAAUAAGGUGUAAUAAAUCUCUGAAGUAAGGGGAAAAUUCCUACAAGCAGUAAAUCUCUCAAUGUACUUCUUGCACACAAUUGGUGCCCUUAUAAAAGAAAGGGCAAUAGGGCUGUUGGUUCAAAAAUCGAAGAGGCACCACUCUCCAGAUUCCGAAAAGGCACCACUUUCCACACGCAACAUCAGCUCAUUGGGUACCACAUAUAACUUUG